GUCUACGGCCAUACCAGCCUGAACGCGCCCGAUCUCGUCUGAUCUCGGAAGCUAAGCAGGGUCGGAAAAGAUUGUAAAAUGUCUUAUUGAUAAUUUUCACAUUGAUUACAUGUUGAAU
Molecule: ribosomal RNA, 118 nt
Organism: Mustela putorius furo (domestic ferret)
Lineage: Eukaryota; Metazoa; Chordata; Mammalia; Carnivora; Mustelidae
Source: Ensembl